UGUAGGGGUCCAGAUUUUGCAGCUCUUUCAGAACAUCAGCUAUCUGGAUUUGGGUGAAGGAGAAAUGGGGGAGGCAUGGGCGAGUUGCCGUGCAAACAAAAAAUUACUCAUGGAACUCUGAGGUCGUCCCAUUGUUUACUAUAGGGAAAUAUUGGUAUGUCUGUCUAUUUCGACAAAUAUCUCGCAAUUUGUAUAUUUCGAUUUUUUUCAAGUCGGGCACCAUUUUAAUCAUGAGAAUCUCCUCUUUCUAAUUYUGUAAGGCUGGGCACUGUAGACCAUAAAUAGUCAGAAGUUGCCAUUUUUUCCCCUACUUCCUCGUUAUGCAGACAAAAGCACACUUGGCACCAUCGAGCUGCGGAUGUCUACUUUCUACACAAGUUGUUAUUUUUCAGUUCCGUCAUAAGAACAUAUUGUAGUGGUAAAAUAAAAAGGGAUCCAUUUUUUGGUGUCAUUUAGGCGAAAUUGAAUUCAAAGCGUCACUCUAGUCAAAACGUAUCUUAGCCAACGUUCUUUUGCGAUUUUCAGCCUUGGGUGAAUGUUGACUCGUUCUGUUGUCCAGCCCACGCUGGACUUGUAUCCACCUCCUAAAGAGACAGUCUUUGCGGCUCUGGCUCAAAGCGCUGAACCUAAAGAAACCAUCAAAACGUCCCUUUGUGUGCUCCUACCGCUUUUUUGACAAAAAGCCUACAGUGGAGCAUCCUUACCCAGAAAYAUGGCUGGCUACGAUGCUCCACUCGUGAAGAAGCGUUGGUCAGGCAGUCAUCAUCAGUGACAGAUGACACAACAGGCUCAAGUGUACACCAAAUUGAAAUGGGGAUUGGCCUUUAUAGAAAGAAGGAAUGGAUAUGCCUUCAGAGAAGGAUGCCCAAACCCAAUGGGAAGACCCAUCUCUAAGUGAUCACAACUACAGCUCAGGUGAUCAUGUAAAGCCCACUACCUGUGAGGCAGAGACACAGUGCCCAGCAGCACCUCUCUACAAAACCCUGCUGAGGAACAAGGCUGUCACGCCCAUGUGUAGAGACGGACCGAGGCGUAGCAGAGGAUGCAACAAGAUGGACUGCUACCCUCAAUUUCAGAGGAUAACUUCCCAGGUGGCAGAACAAAACAAUUCUCUGUUAAAAAGAACGAAAGGCCAGCUGUCAUAUAUGAACAGGGAGAACUCCAUGACACAUCAUCAACUGUUCCUGUGGCAUAAAUCCUGCGAAAUUAUAAAAUAAAAAAUAAAUAAAACGUACUCAGUAAGUGUAGCUACAUUUGAUUGUAGCAAUGUGAAUGCCCUACCCACGUCAGGAUUUCCCUGCACACGAUCUACUUACUUUCCUUUUUUUUAUUUUUUAUUAAUACAUUUUUAUUUCUUGUGUGCUUGGGGGCAUUGUCUUGCUGGAAGAUCCACUUUUGACCAAGUUUCCAUCUUUCUUUCAAUGCCUAACCCACUGCUGGUGUGCGUGGCCAAAGACGUCUAUUUUGUCUCGUGACCGUAGCACCUGGUUACAAUCCAAGUGCCAAUGCCAUUUAGCAAGCUCCAGGCGUGUACAUUUAUUGGUUACUUGCAAUAAAAGCUUUUUUCUGACAACCCUUCCAAAAAACCUGGCAUUGCCAUGGGGGUGGCGUCUAAUUGUAGAUUAAGAGACUUGGUGUCCCCAAGAUGCGACCAAGUUCUGUAAUUGUCCUUGGACUUUUUCUUGCCUCCAGAACCAUCUUCCUCACUGUGCGUGGGGACUUGAUCCACAUGCAUGAAGGGUGCCAAUAUUAUUGUAUUAAUAAAACAAUAUGUUCAUAAUACAAUACUGUAUUAUGAACGGUGUCUAAUGGGUUGAUUUUAGGUCCUGUACUUUUUACUGUAUAUAUAAACAAUAUUAUUGUCAUUGCAAAAAACUGUAACAUGCAGGUGACACUGUUGUGUAUGCUAUUGCUCCCACGGUUGACAAGGCUCUUUCGGAGUUUCAAUCGGCCUUUAUUGCCUUGCAAAAAGCCUUUGUUGAACUGAAAUUGGUACUUAAUGCAGGUUAAACCAAGUACAAAAAUGUAUCUGAUGAUUUAUGCAUAUGUACAUUGGAAGCAUGUUGAGGAGUUCAUUAAGAAAUGAAUAAUUAAAAUGGGCUUCUUUUAUAGGAAUAAGUCAUGCCGCUCGUUAAAUAGCAGAAAACAAAUAACUCAGUCGACAUUCAUCCCGGCAUUAAACUAUGACAAUAUCAUCUAUAUCCCUCAAACUCAAACCUGGACCUCAAAGCCAGUUCCAAUGAUUUAGACCUGGGAUACCAGGUGUGUGCAAUUAAUUAUCAGGUAGAACAGAAAAGCAGGGUAUGAGUCGAGAACCCCUGGUCUAUGUGUAUGCAGCUGCCAUAGUAUGAAACUCAUUAGAUGCAGACGAUAAGGUUAAGUACACAAAAGUAGGCCGGCCCUCUCUUAAAUCUCGUAGAUCAAUGGUUUAUAAAACCCUGUUGUGCCAACUUUCGCCACACCACAGACAUACAAGUCACCAGACCCGCUCAAAGGAAUGGUUCAUUUUAUAGUUUCCGGUUGAUCAGUACAGAAAUAGGUAAAUCUGCAUUCAGUUUUUUUUGCACCGUGUAUGGAAUGAUCUCAGAGCUCUCUGCACCUUGAUGCUCUGGUGUCUCUAGGGCAGUUCAUGUCGUUAUUGAGGUGACUCCUUGUUUAAAUAAAGGUUCAAUACAAUUGUAUGGUGGCGUUCAUCUCUUUUGCAGGCAGUCUUGUUUAUUUUCAUUGAUAUAUUUAUUUUGAGGGUAUCCUGUAGUUUUGCUGUUGAUGUAUUUUCCUUUUUGAAGUAGCUUUUGUUUGAGUCGUUUCUAAGAAAAAUACAAAUAUAUAUUUGAUAUUAAAUUGAAUACAUGAAUGAUCA
Salvelinus sp. IW2-2015 is the source of this 2860-nucleotide long non-coding RNA. RefSeq lists it as uncharacterized. The record is from RefSeq and is a predicted model, not a curated record. NCBI's taxonomy places the organism in Eukaryota, Metazoa, Chordata, Actinopteri, Salmoniformes, Salmonidae.